Molecule: ribosomal RNA, 319 nt
Filed under: Zymoseptoria tritici
Lineage: Eukaryota; Fungi; Ascomycota; Dothideomycetes; Mycosphaerellales; Mycosphaerellaceae
Description: eukaryotic LSU rRNA
Rfam family: Eukaryotic large subunit ribosomal RNA
Source: RNAcentral
AGACCGAUAGCGAACAAGUAGAGUGAUCGAAAGAUGAAAAGCACUUUGGAAAGAGAGUUAAAAAGCACGUGAAAUUGUUGAAAGGGAAGCGCUUACAACCAGACUUUGGGGCGGUGUUCCGCCGGUCUUCUGACCGGUCUACUCUCCGUCCCGAGGCCAACAUCAUCUGGGACCGCCGGACAAGACCUCAGGAAUGUAGCUCCCCCUCGGGGGAGUGUUAUAGCCUGUGGUGAUGCGGCGCGUCCCGGGUGAGGUCCGCGCUUCGGCAAGGAUGUUGGCGUAAUGGUUGUCAGCGGCCCGUCUUGAAACACGGACCAAG